GAGGAGGCUCUCAUGUCUUCCUAGAUGCAUCGAUCAGGGGCAAAGCCCCCGACUUUCUUCCAUCUCCAGACUCCAGGCCUAAUUAAGGCCUCGCCGAUGAGCAGGUAACUAAUCGCUUACAUCCAUCCCCUUUUAUAUCUCUCAAAUUAACCUCACCGUGUUGUUGAUUUUGCUUCACGCGUGUGUGUCUGUUUCCACUCAAGUUCCGCUACACGGCAAAAUCUCAGAUCUUACAUGAUUCGCCGACUAUUUUUGUCAUGCUUUCUGUAGUUAUAUUCAUAGAUAAAUAAAUUUUUGUAUUGCUUGCAUCCCCAAUGAUGCAUGCUUAUUGAUUUGUUCUUCUGGAUUUCCUACAUCAGUGCAAGAAGCAUAGAUGCAUGGUUAUGAUACUAGGAGGGUUUGGGCUCUGAAUUUCAUUUGACAUGCACUAUAUCCUAACAGGAAAAAUGAUUAUAUCAAAUAUGUCGUCAAGCAGUUCUUGAGGACCGGAGAUUUUAUCUAUUUCUUUAUGUUUUAAAGUUUACUUCCAUAUGUCCAAGCAUAUGCCGUCUCACCAUCAUGUCUUGGCUUUACCACAAGUUUUUCUUCUUCUUUAUUUCAGUUUCUUUCAAGAAUCAAGAUUACCAAGCACAAUGCAAGUCAGUAUACAAAAUAAUUAUGUUUCAACUCAUGUACGCCUAAAGUGUUGCCUGCAUGUUGUCAUGAAAAUAGUAGCUACACGGAUCAUCAGAUUAAGGAGUAGGAAAUAGUAAUGCAGAAGUGUCCUACUUCUACUACCCACGAAGGCGAGACGUUGCUGCGGCGUCAUGCCCCGUCGCCGUGACGGCCCUGCGCGCCGACAAGAUGGAGUUCGACUAAGUAAACUUGGUUAAUGAAGGGGCUUGACGACUGAGGUCUAAAUAUAAAUGACAUCAAGUACUUAUUUCUCCUUGUGCAUGGCAAUUAGCAUUUUGAGAACACUAUCCUGCCGAUCAAGUUCUUCUCUUAUGCCCAAUUGAUCAGUUCUCACUGGAGCCUGGCCACCAUAUACAUGCCUGAAGGUGCAGAAAGUGAGACUACCACUGUAUUCCUUAUGGAUUCACUGAAUUUGCAUGAUCCAAAAGCUACUUUUGAUCACACUCAAAGAUUCUUAAGAGAAAUGCUGGAUAUCCACAGUGCAAUCAUGAUGAAAGAAGUUGAGGUUCUACAUCAGGGAGACAAUGUGGACUGUGCUCUUUUUAGUUUGUAUAAUAUUCAGAAAAUCAUUACACAAGUCAGAGAUGAGCUUCUGCUGGAAGAAAUUAUUCAGGUUUUGUCUGCUAGACCAUUUUCUGGCCCAUAGAAAUAUGUUCUAUUCUUUACAAACCACAACCCAGUGCUUGCUUGAAGCACAACCUGCAAAAGAGCAGGACAACCACACUGAGAGAGUGCCCUUGGUGUCCUUUCCUUGUCGGUUUCAUCAAAGUGCUUUACAACACGAUAUCCUUGUUUGCAGCUCACAAACGUCCUCCGGUAUGUAUUUUCCUUGUUUCCCCUUAUGUUUCAGAUCGCCCUUUCUAACACCAAAUCCUUUGUUCUUCGCAUACCCUAAGUAGAACUCGUACGCUUUGUUCUCACUUUUAAAUGUCUGCUUGACCAUCGAAUCGUACUCCAUCAAUUCAUCUAUCAAGAUGCCUUCACCAGCCAUGCCGUUAUCAUCUGUAACUGAUAACGGCAAAAGAAACAGCAAAACAUGUUACAUAUUUACAUGAAAGAAGAUACGCUGGAACUAAAACAUAUUAAUUAUAAAUUGUAAACGAUUAUCAUCUGUAACUGAACUAAGAAUCUCUGACAUCCUUACUAAUUUUCUGAGAGGCCUACAAUCCUACUGGGCAUAGUAAUUUAACCCAUCAUUUUCAUGUUCUGAGAAAUCAUGGUUUUCAAACAACCGUAUUAAGUUCUUGUAAGAAGUAACACGUAUUCCACAAUAUCAAACUCAUAUCUGAGGUGAUGGCAAAGCAUUUUAGUCACAGUACAAACCCUUGGAUGCCAGCAUAAUUUAUUGUAUGUUCUCACACACACUACUAUUCAUAGGUAGGAAAAAUGAGAAGAUCUGAAACCUCUUUUUUACAUCAUUAUACGAUAUGUGUCAUUACAUGAUCUGUGUAUUACAGUACUAUUCUGUUGGCAUUUACAUCAUCACAUGAUCUGUGUCGGUACCAGUUAAGCGAACAGAUGUGCGAAAGCAAUACUUUUUGUAUCCAAAUCCAAAAUUUUCUAGUAGCAGUUAGCCUAAAGGAGAUUUCAAAUAAUUUUACCUUGUGCACCUGUGUUGUUAUGCCUAUUUGAUCAAGUCAAUUUUAUUUCCCAUUGCUGGAUGUAUGUAAGGUGGUCAAGCUUAAUUGAGUGAGAAGCUUAAUUCAACCGUUUCUACAAAAAUCAUGUACUGCAGGUAAUACUAUAUAGUAUAUGUUGAUCACUAGUUCACUACUACCUCAGGAACAAACAACAGACAACAGAGAAGCUCGAGAUAGCAGAAACUUAGAUUGGAAAAGUUUAGCAAGUCUGAUUUGAUUCCUCUGUCGUCAAACUGCGCUAAUGCAGGAGUGCAAGGCAUACUUCUUCAAAGCAAAAUGGCCCUCUUCUCUGCUCGCAACUAAAAAGUGCAAAAUGUGUUGCUGCUUUGUGCACAACAGCUUUUGGUCCCCCACCCCCCUCCCCUCUUUCUCUUUGGCAGAGCAUCAAUCAACGUAUGUAUGCUGCUGCUUUGUUUUUUUCUUUUUUUUUUCUGUUCCAAAGGUGAUUGAGAUGUAGCUCCUCUUACAAGCUUGAUAUUUUGCUUUUCCAACACUACAGAUUUCCAUGUUGUUUUGUGCUGUUAGAGAUAACUUCUGUACAGCAAGGUCUACUAAGUUUAGCAGAACUCCCUCGGUCCAAAAUACUCAACAUGUAUUUUGACUGUCCAAGUUCAAUCUUUGAAUACAUUCAGACCAGGUUUUGCCUUUUUGAACUUCUGAACG
This is a non-coding RNA of Triticum urartu, 2978 nucleotides long. The record is from RefSeq and is a predicted model, not a curated record. NCBI's taxonomy places the organism in Eukaryota, Viridiplantae, Streptophyta, Magnoliopsida, Poales, Poaceae.